Homo sapiens (human) is the source of this 14539-nucleotide long non-coding RNA. RefSeq lists it as uncharacterized. The record is from RefSeq and is a predicted model, not a curated record. The transcript is spliced from 2 exons. Lineage: Eukaryota; Metazoa; Chordata; Mammalia; Primates; Hominidae.
AGCAAGACUCCAUCUCAAAAAAAAAAAAAAGAAAGUUAGAAGAAGGUUUAUUUCUUGAGUCUAUUUUGACUUGAACUUUCAUCAGAAAGACUGUGAAGUGACCUUAGUGUCCAGACCUCUCCUCUUCCUGUGGGAGUCUGAGAGUCUCGCCAGCUCUCCCCAGCACGCUGCCACCUCUAGAGAUCAGGGCAGCUCCCUCCAAGUAACAGCACAGAAGGCAGCUGGCGGGGUUUUCAGUGUGAACAAUUUGGGGUACUUCAAACCUACAUUUUUUUCCUAGACCAUCUAGAACAUGGUAGAGUAUCGGGUGGCAGUGCUGUCAGUGUAGCUGUGCACCCUCCGCAUUGCACUUUGUUGCCUCAGGUCUACACAGAAUGUGGGUUCUAUUGAGCAAAAAGUAGCUGGCUGCCACAUUUGCCAUGCUAACAUCUGCCUAUACACCUGUCUUCUGUUGCUACUUGGAGCUGCCCUGUAGGCAGCUGUGUGAGGUAGACCCAUUCUCCCCUUGUCCAUGCCAGUGAGGAUUGGGCCUCACCGGCAAGUGUGGUUUUGCUGUUUCUGCUUUGGCCUCCGUAGCUCUGCCUGCAAGAAGAUCUAUAGAGUUAUCCUGACUUCCAGAGUGAAACGGGUUGUUGUUCCUGGCCAUGUGGUGCUCAUAUGUGUCCUGGUCGGGGAAGUGUUUUACCUGGUGGGCAUUGGUGCACCAUCACUGCCAGAAGGCCCAGUGGCACCCUGUGGGUAGCUGUUCUGAAAGGAUUGCUAUUAGUUGAUGAAGUCUUGCAGGAGAAUUUCUUUCUUUUUUUUUUUUUGAAACAGUGUCUGGCUCUGUCACCCAGGCUGGAGUGCAGUGGCACUAUCUUAGCUCACUGCAGCCUCUGCCUCCUGGGCUCAACUGAUCCUCCUACCUCAGCCUCCCAAGUAGCUGGGACCGUAGGCACAUGCCACCACACCCAGCUACGUUUUGUAGAGAUGGAGUCUUGCUGUGUUGCCCAGACUGGUCUCAUACUCCUGGGCUCAAGCAAUCUGCCCAUCUCAGCCUCCCUAAGUGCUGGGAUUACAAGCAUGAGCCACUGUGCCCAGCCGUAACAGGAUUUCAAACUUCUCUCCACCUAACUCACUGUGAGAUUUUGGGGGAGUCAUUUGUGCCCUACAGCAGUGCUCCACUUAUAAUUCAACAAUGGCUGCCAUUCACUGGCUCACUGCACUGAGCUCCCAUCAUUGACCUCUCAUUUACUCUUCAUGCCACUCUGAGGAUGGUCUUUUCCUUACUCCCGCUUGACCCACAGAGCUAGAGAGAGGAGGAGCCAAGGCAUGAACUCAACCCCGUGGGUCUGCAGAGCCCACAUGGCCCCUCUGCCCUACUAGGUGUCUUCUGCGUUUAGGAUGUCAUUCAUCCUGAAUGACAGUUAGUGUUGUAGCCCUUUGGAACAGGUGAUCUCUCCUUUCUACAGAGAGGAGAGAACCUCAGAGAGCACGUGCCUUGCCUGAAAUCCUGUAGGUGAUUAGGGGCACAGCUGAGAUUGGACCCCCAGUCUGUGCUGCUUCUACUCUAUGUAUCCCGCCUCCCUCUGAGGCAGCAAGAGAUGACAGAACUUAGGAAAAUUUAAAGUGUCAGACAGGAAUGAGGACCUGUGAGGUGUGAGAAUCAUGUCAGGACAGGGUAGUACAUGGUUGGUACCUUAGGGCCUACUAGCUAUAAUUUGAGUUCUUUUGGUCCAAGGAAUCUGAGGCUCCCAUCCCUGUUUCCUUUCAGUGGACAAGCACCUCUUGAAGCCAUGGAUAUCUCAGGCAUGGACCAGGCAAAUGCCUAGUGAAUGUGGGAAGUGAACCUGAGGUCUGUUAGGUGCAGGAAAUGGCCAAGGGCCCUGGGGCAGCAUGAGAUGAGUGACUGGCAGCUCAGAAACCAUGGAGUGGACUGACUGGUCCCACCUGCACUGCUCUGACCCUGUGCUGGCACUGAGCAGCAAAGAGAAAGCAGAUCUUCAAAGAUUGUAUGUCAGUAAAGGAAACAGAUAUGUCAAUUACAUAUCUAUUACAGUAUAGCAUAAUAGAGACCACAGGGAAAUAGGAGUCGGGCACAGAAGGGCCCAGGAGAGAGAGUAACAAAAUUUUGGGGAGGAUAAUGGAGUCUUUCUGAAGAUGGCAAAUUCCAAGAUGCCUUUUAAAUGACAAAAUGAGGUAGCCUCAGGGAACCAAAGUAACUUGGGUGAGUUAUUUUCCCUCUUUGAGCCUCAGUUUUCCACAUUAAAAGAGGAGUACCAGGCUUGCUCUGAGGAUUAUUAUGGCAAACAGCUAUGGUAAUGAUUAUCAAAUGCUUGGCACAGUGCUUGCAUGUUGUCAGCAUUCAAGAAAUGGUACCUGCAUUUGUUUUUAAUAAAAUUGUUGCUGAUAAUUAUAGGCAAGAUUGGAGGACAGUUAAUAACCUCUAUGUCCUGACAGUCUCAGCGUGCACAAAUGGGACCUCCUAUAUGCAAGCUGGUUUGUAACAGGGUUGAGAAUGUUCUACAGCAGUGGUUUCCAGCUUGGGCCUCUAUACUCAUUAAGGAUUCUGAAGAUUGUAAUGGGGGGAGAUGUGGUCUGUAAGGUAUUUAUUGUAUUUCAAUGGAAUUCACAGCUUUGAUUCUGUGAUGCUACAUGAGCUAUCAAGAGGAGAAAUCGUGCCCUGCCUGUCUUUGUGUCCCCUGCAUUUGGCAUAGGACCUGGUAAUUUUAGUGUAUCAGCCUAUCCAUCGUUGACCUUAAAAUCUCCCCUUUGGCCAAAGUUGUGUGUUUACUCUGACAGAUUCUGCUUCUUAAACAUUUGGUAAAUCCACAUCCUCUUCCUCAUCCCUCCUAAACACCACCUAAUCUAAGCUUUUAUUUUCCCCCUGCAUUAUUACCAGCAGACUCAAGACUGGCUCAUCUGACUCCAGCCUCAUCCCUCCAAUCUUUCCGCCUCAUGCCCCAGAGUGACCUUUCUAAAAACAUAAACUCCAUUUCCCACCUAACUAAAACUAUUCCAUCAGUGAAUGUAAUUUUUCAAAAAAACAUUUAAGGACAAAAAAAUUCUCCUAUAACUUCCCAUUACCUAGAGAUUCAAGGCAACUUCCCUUUGUUGGCUUUGAAAUCAAACAGACCUGUUUUCACAUCCUGGCUUCCUCACUUCAUGUCCGUGUGAUCUUGGGCAAAAUUACUUAAGCUCUCUAAGACUUAAUUUCCACAUAAGGUUGUUUGAGAAUUAAAUGUAAUAUAUAUAAUAUAUUUAAAACAUAUAUCCUAUCAGCACAAUCGACAGUAGCUGAUGAUGAUGAAUUAUGGAUGUGAAUUAUGAUCCGCAGGGCAUUCAGCCCUCCUUCAUGAUACCCCCCUGUUUUUGUUUCUCCAUAGCUGUAGUUCUCUCUCCUCCCUGCUUUAAACUCUGUACUGUAGGUUUUUAGAACUGUUAAUGGUUGUCCCAAAUUUACAUGUUGUUUCAUAACUUCAUACUUUGUAUGCAGCAUUUCUUUUGUCCCAGUGUCUUACCUCAUCUAUUAAUCUCUCACUCAUUCUUCAAGACCUGCUCUCAAGUAUUUAAUCACACACACACACAAACACAUGCACACACACACACACAAACACACACUGAAUCUUUUCUGACCUUCACGUAGAUUUGACCAUAUCUUUCUCUAUGUCCCCACAGCCCCUUGUGUACCUUGUGUAAUUGUACUGAUUUAUUGCCCAUUUCCCUUUUACUUGUCAGUUUUUUGGAGUAGCAGUAAUUGAGUUUUAUUCAUCUUUGUUUUCCAAGAAUCUAGCAGCCACUGAAUAGAUAGAUGGAAGGAUGGAAGGCACAUAUGGAUUGGGUUAUUAUGGUAGAUGAAAUCUUGUAAAACAUGGCAUCUACGCUGGAAACUUUAUUAAAAGAGGCUUGGGGCCAGACAUGGUGGCUCAUGCCUAUAAUCCCAGCAUUUUGGGAGUCUGAGGCAGAAGAAUUGCUUGAGGCCAAGAAUUCAAGUUUGCAGUGAGCUGUGAUUGCGCCACUGCUCUCCAGCCAUGAUAGAAUAAUUGGAACUGGAUUAAUCCUCCCACAAUUUAAAACUCUGGACAAAUAUGAAAACAGCUGUUUUCACAUGUUGGACAACAGACAAGACAAGAUUGUUAUCCCUGAGUGAAAGGAAGCCAGUGAGGUGAGGCCUACUAUCCCACUGGCUUUCUGCCUUGAGGCAUUUUCUGGAUAUUGGUACUAGAAGGGGAAUCCCCAGCAAAGCACAACAGUCUUGGGGAGCUGAAAGAUUAAAGAACAGUUUGAAGGGGAGAUGGUUUACAUUUGCAAGUGAGAGUAUCAGACAGGAGGGAGCUACUCAGCUGAAGAGCUCCAGAAACCUGAAUUGACAAACCUGCUGAAGACUAAUCUGCCCAUAUGUAGGGUAAAACUCCUGACAGGAAACUAUAAGAUGAACAGUUCUCAGAGCUCACACAAGUCUAGGAAUCCUGCAGGUUCUGACCAACCAGAGUCAGAGAUCUUGUUGGUCAUUCAGGACAAUGAUAAGAGACACCAGUAGGGCAUGACUUGAUAGUACAUCUAAAUUAGCUAUAAAGAUCAUUUUAGCCCUGCCCUGAAAGAGCUUAAAAUUAAGCUUUGAGAGGCACAAGAGAGGGCUUUAGGGGUCCUAAAAUGUGCUGGAUUUUAAUCUGAGUGCCAGUUACAUGGGGGUGAAUUCGUCAAGCUGAGCACCAAUGGUGUGUGCAUUUUUAUGUGUGUAUGUUAAACUUCGAUGAAAAGUUUUAAACAAACCUAUUUCUUUUUAAAGAAGUCUUUAAAAGAUCAAUCUGAUGUGCAAGAAAUCUAACCUUGUGUCAAAAUAAACUUCAACCCUCUUUAAAAGAAGGCAACACAAUCCAAUAUUCGAUAACAUAACAUUCACAGUAUCUAACAUCUUAUUUUAAAAGUGCAAGACAUGUUGAGAAUGAGGAAAAUGUCACCCCUAACAAGAGGAAAAUUAGUCAAUAGAAACAGACUCAGAAGUGACAGAUAUGAUAGAACUAGCAGAUAAAGACUUUAAAGUAGAUUUUAUGAAGACUAUAAAUAUGUUCAUGAAUUUAAAGGAAGACCUGAUUAAAUGAAGGGAGAAAUGGAAGAUAUUUAAAAAUGAAAGGGAACAUCUAUAAGCAACAAAUACACCUAGAAUGAAAAAAAAAUCACUUAUGGGAUUAAGAGGAUAUGAGAUACCACUGAAUAAAACAUCAGUGAAUUUGAAGAUAUAGCAAUAAAAACUCCUCAAUAUGAAGCCAAGAAAGAAAAAAGACUGGAAAAAGUUAACAAAACUCAGUGAUCCUAUAGCAUAAUAUCAAGAGGGCUAACAUACUUGCAACUGGAGUCCCAGAAGGUAAGGAAGGUGAGGAAAGACAGAAAAAAUAUUUUAACAGAUUAUAGCUGAUUUUUUUUUCAAUUUUGAUGAAAUUAUACUCAGAGCUCCAAGAAGCUCAAUAAACCUGAAACACAAUGGACCCAAACAAAACCACACAAAGAUACAUUUUGAUUAAUUGCUCAAAACCAAGAAAAGCUUAAAUUAGCCAGAGAGAAAAAGGUAUGAGAAGUAAUUCUAGCAGACUUAUUGCCAGAGACCAUUUAAGGCAGAAGACAAUGGAAUGACAUUUUUAAAGUAAUGAAAGAUAAUUUUUAUCAACCCAGAAUUCUAUAUCCAGUGAAAAUAUCCUUCAAAAAUGAAAGCACUGAGGCAGGUGGAUCACCUGAGGUCAGGAGUUCAAGACCAGCCUGGCCAACAUGGUGAAACCCCGUCUCUACAAAAAUUAGCCAGUCAUGAUGGCGGGUGCCUGUAAUCCCAGCUACUCAGGAGGCUGAGGUGGCAGAAUCGCUUGAACCCAGGAGGCAGAGAUUUCAGUGAGCCGAGGCUGCCCCACUGCACUCCAGCCUGGGAAACAGAGCUAGAAUCCAUCUCAAAAAAAAAGGCAAAACUAGGACUUUUUAAAACAGAUACAAAAUUGGAGAAAUCAUUGUCAGCAGACCUGCACUACAAAAGAAGUUCUUCAGCGGGGAAAAAUGAUAUUAUAGGGAAAUCUGAAUUGUAAGGAAGUGAAGAGAACCACAGAUAGUAAAUAUAUGGAUACAUGUAAGAAAUUUACUUUCUCAUUUGUAAUUUCUAAAAAAGUUAAUUGAGUAUUUCAAGUAAAAAUAAUACCAGUGGAGGUAUUCUGCUGGUAAUAAUACCAGUAGGGGGUGGAGAAUAGAAGUAUUCUGUUUAAAGGUUGUUACGUUACCUGUAUACAAAAACUGGCAUAAUAUUAUUUGAAGGUAGACUGUAUUAAGUUAGAGAUUUAUGUUGUAAACCUUACAAGGGCCACUAAGGGAGGAAAAAAUAAGACAGAGAUAUAUAGCUAAUAAGCCAGUAUUGAAGGUCCAAAACAUUUUGUGGGGAAAGAGUAAACAUGACAACAGAUGGAACAAAUAGAAAAGUUAGCAAGAUGAUAGAUUUAUUCAACUAUGUUGGUUUUUACAUUAAACAUACAUUGUCUAGACACUCCAAUUUACAGAGGUUAUUAUAUAAAAAAGCAAGACCCAAUUGUAUAAUUUCUGUAAGAAUUCUACUUUAAAUAUGAAGAGUCAAAUAGAUGAAAAGUAAAAGGAUAAAAAAGAUAUACCAGCCAAAUGCUGAUCAAAAGAGAGUUGGGGGGCAGAGAAACAAAUCAUCCUUAUACAAGUAUACCAAAUAAUAUUUGUAAAGACUGUCCUGUCCAGAAGGGGCUUAAUCGCCCCUUGCCCCUACUUGGGUGUGGGCUAGAAUGUAUUUAUUCCUAAAAAACUGUGUGUGUAAAGAGAAAAAGAGUAACUUUAGUGGAGAAACUGGCAGACACUACCUUAACCAAACGAUCAAUUUUAACAUCACCAGUGAUGUCAUGUGGAUAUCAUAUAACCACUGAUGUGAUGUAAUGAGGAUAUUUCACUUCUGUGGUAUUCUUUCCAAAAAUCCACUCUAAUCAUGCAGAGACUUCUGAGAAAUUCAAAUUUGGGAACAUUCUGCAACAGGGGUCUCCAACCCCUGGGCUGUGGAUUGGUGCCAGUUCAUGGCCUGUUCGGAACCCAGCCAUACAGUAGGAGGUGAGCAGCGAGUGAGCAUGACCACCUGAGCACUCUACCUCCUGUCAGAUCAGCAGCGGCAUUAGAUUCUCAAAGGACCAUGAACCCUGUUGUGAACUUUGUAUGCAAGGGAUGUAGGUUGUGUGCUCCUUAUGAGAAUCUAAUGCCUGAUGAUCUGAGGUGGAAGAGUUUCAUCCCAAAACCAUCCUCCCUUGCACCUCUCCACCACCCCCAGCAGUCCAUGAAAAGAUUGUCUUCCAUGAAACUGGUCCCUGGUGCCAAAAAGGUCGUGGGACUGCUGUUCUACAAAAUAUCUGACCAGCAUUUCUCACAACUGUCAAGGUCAUAACAAAGGAAAGACAAACUGUUCUAAACCAGAGGAGACUAAGGAGACAUGACAACUAAAUGCAAUGUAGGAUCCUGGAUUGGAUCUUGGGAUAGAAAAAUGGCAUGAAUGGAAAACUGAUGAAAUCACAAUAAAGUCUGGAGUUUAGUUAAUACUAAUGUGCUAUUGUUAGUUUCUUAGUUUUGACAAAUGUGUGGUGGUAAUCUAAGAUAUGCAAGCUUGUCCAACCCACCCCACUUUGUUGUUGUGGCUGUUCUGUUUUGUUUUAGGCUUUUAGCAGCCCAAAGCCAUAGCUUUUAGUUUCUCUCUCUAGUGAUAAGUGGAAAAGAGGGAUGAGGAAGAGGCUUUGCCGGCCCAACCAGAAACAAACUAAGAACCCAUGACUGCAUUCUCUCCCUUUAACACCCCUGUUUAGGGGAAACUGAAACUGGGUAAGGAGAAUAUGGGUCCUCUUUGUACUAUCUUUGUAACUUUUCUGUAAAUCUAAAAAUAUUUCAAAAUGAAAGUUCAUUUUAGAAAAAGAAGGGAGUAUUAUGAAUAACUUUACAAUUUUGACAAAUUAGGUAAAAUGAACAAAUUCCUUGAAUUACAGAAAGUGACUCAAGAAGAAAUAGAAAAAUGGCACUAUUUCUAUUAAAGAAUUUUAAAUCUGUAAAACUUUCCCACAAAGAAAACCCUAGGCCCAGAGAGCCUCCCUGGUGAAUUCUAUCAUAUAUUUAAGAAGAACUAACACAAUCUUAUCACCAACUUUUUCAAAAAACAGAAGUAAAAGGAAGAUGUCUCAUCUUAUUUUAUGAGGUCAGCUUUACCCCAACUUGAAAACCAGAUAAAUAAUUUACAAACAAAAAAAAAAAAAAAAAAGGCAACUACAGACCAAUAUAGAUGCAAAAAUCUUUAACAAUAUAUUAUCAAAUUGAAUCCAGCAAUAUAUAAAAAAGGAUAAUAACCUUUUUUAAAAGAUGUGAAUACAGGUUGGCUAAAUAUUUGAAAAACCAUGUAAUCUAUUAUAUCAGUAAACUGAAAAGGAAAAUAAUAACAAGAUAUAUGAAAAAAAAAAUUUAGGAAAAAUUCGGCAAUAUUCAUGAUAAGAACUCCUAGAAAAUGAAGUAUUCUCACUGUGAUAGAGAGCAUCUAGAAAAGACCUACAGCUCACAUCAUACUUAAUGGUGAAAGACUGAUUUCUUUCCCCCGAGAAUGAAAGAAAGGUAUCUGCUCUUCUUAUUUCUAUUCAACAUUGUACUGGAGGUUCCCACCAGUUCACUAAGACAGGGAAAAGAGGUAAAGCCUUAAUGAUUAGAAAGAAGUGAAAUUCUCUUUAUUCAGACAACUUGAUCGUGUAUAUGGAAAAUUCUAAGGAGUCUCAUAAAUGAAUUUAGUAAGGGUGCAGGAUAAAGUCAGUAUACAAAAAUCAAAUGUAUUUCUAUAUACUAGUAACAAGCAAUUGAAAAUGAGAUUUUUUAAAGUACCAUUUAAAAUAGCAUACAAAACACAAAAUACUUAGGAAUAAAUUUAAGAAAAUAUGUUGAAAAUUUGUAUCCUGAAAGCUAUGAAACAUUUCUGAAAAAAAAUUUAAAAGACCUAAAUAAAUGGAGAGCUAUUCCAUGUUUUGGAUUGGAAGACUCAAUAUUUUUUUACUCAAUAUUUUUAAGAUGUUAAUUUUCCCUAAAUUGAUCUAUAGAUUCAAUAUAAUCCCAACCCAAAUUCCAGAUGGCUUUCUUUUUGGUAAACUUCACAAGCUGAUUCUAAAAUGUAUAUGAAUAUGCAAAAGAUCUAGAAUAGCCAAAACAAUGUUGAAAGAGAAGAACAAAGUUGUAGGACUUAUAUUACCUGUUUGCAAGACUCACUAUAAAGUUACAGUAAUCAAGACAGUGUAGAAACACAUAUAAAUCAAUAGAACAAAAUUAAGAGUCCAGAAUUAGACCUACACAUAAGUGGUCAAUUGAUUUUUCAACAAAUAUGCCAAAGUAAUUCAAAAGGGAAAGAAGAGGGAUCUUUUAUUCCAACAAACGUGCUGGAACAACUGGAUAUCUAUAUGGAAAAAAAAGAAGCCUUGACUUUUACCUCAUGCAAAUAUUAGCUCAAAAUAGACUAUAGACCUAAAAAUAGAAGCAAAAACAAUCAAAUGACUAGAAAAAAAAUAUGAGAGGGAAUCCUCAUGAAUUGGGGGUAGGCAAAAAUUUCUUAGGACAUAAAAAGCACACAUCAUAAAUAAAAAAGUGAUAAAUUGGAUGUCAUGAAAGGUAAAAACUUAUGCUCCCCAAAAGCAUCAUUUAAAAAAUGAAGAGGCAAGCCACAGACAAAAUGAGAUAAAAUAUUCUUAACACUUAUACCUAAAAAAGGACUUUUAUCCAAAAUAUAUUUAAAAAUUCCAAAACUCAAUAGCAAGAAGAUAGCUCAAUUAAAAUGGGUAAAAUAUUUGAAGAAACACAUCACAACAUGCACAUGAAAAGAUACUCCGCAUCGUUAGUCAUGAGGGUACAAAUUAAUGUCACAACAAGGUUCUACUGCAUACCCACUGGUACGGCUAAAAUAAAAAGGCUGAAUUUCUUAUAGAUGUAUAUUUUAAACAUAUGUUUACUGUAUGACCAGGCGAUCCCACACCUAGGUAUUUGCCCAAGAAAAGGAAAACGUAUGUAUGUGUAUGUUUUUAGCAACCCAAACCAGAAACAAUACAGACGUCCCCCAACUGGUUAAUAUAAAAACAAUCAGUGGUAUACCCAUAAAAUAGAAGGCUACUCCACAAUCAAGAAGAAGAAACUAACUACUGAUCUAUUCCACAAAAUGGAUGAAUCUCAAAUACAUUAGAAGUGACAGAAUCCAUUUAUUUUGUAUUCUGGAACAGGCAAAACUAUAAAGCUAGAAACAGCUGAGUGGUUGCCAGGACUAAAAGUGGAACAAGGGAAAUUUGGGGGAUGAUGGACCGUCUGUAUCUUGAUUGUGGUGAUAGAUAUAUGACUGCAUGUAUCUUUCAAAAUUCUUAGAACUAUUCACUAAAGAUGGUGAAUCUUAAGGUAUGUAAAUCAUACCUCAAUAAACCUGACUUUAAAAUUAUUUAAACACUGGCAACACCAAGUAUUGUCAAAGAUGUGGAAGCAUUUAUGUGGAGCUUUCAUCACGGCUGAUGGGAGUACAAUACGGUACAACCACUUUGGAAAACAGUUUGUCAAUAUCUCAUGAAGUUAAACUUACGCCUACCAUACAACCCAACAAUCCCACACCUGGCUAUUCACCCAAGAGAAAUGAAACUAUAUCCAAACAGGCUUGUACAUGAAUGUUUAUGGCAGCUGUAUUCAUAGAGAACAAUAACUGAAAGUAACCGAAAUGUCUAUCAAAUGGUAGAUGGAUAAAUAAACAAUGUAUUAUAUCCCUUAUGUUUAUGUAUUUACUCAGUAUUCUGUAGUAACAAACGUUUGAUACACCAAGCAACAUGAAUGAAUCUUAAUUCACACUGAGCAAAAGAAACCAGACACACAGCACUGUAGGAUUUCAUGUAUGUAAAAAUAGAAGAGAGAAAGCUAGUCUAUAGUGGCUGAAAGCAGAUCAGUGGUUGCCUUGGGCUGGGAUGGAGGAGGCAGGGCCUGACUGCCAAGGGGCACCAACCAACCUUCUGUGGUGAAGGAACUGUUCUGUUUCUUGAUUGUGGAGGUGGUUACACACGUGUAGACAUUGGUCAAAACUCACUGGACUGUGCUUUUUAAGUGUAUGCAUUCUAUUAUAUAUCAGUUAUGACUUAGUUAAUUUUUAAAAGUAGCAGCCUUGGAAAUUAAUUUUAAAGGUGGAGUUCCAAUAUUAAGUAGCUUUCAGAACAACUCUGCUGAUUUUUAGAUGAUUUAUGUACAUGAGCAAAGGGUUACUUUGGAGGCAGGAUGGCUCGGCUUUGUGCUAGAUGCCUAGACAAUUUAGUCUCAAAUGUAUAAUCUUGUCUGAGUUAGCUUUGUUUUACCCUAAAAAAAAAAAUGAGGUUGGCAAGGUUAAUGCCUUAUACCUUGCUAUGUUCCAUGAAAGUUGCCAAAGUAGUGUUUUCACUGACAAUAUUGCAUUGUUCCCUAGCUAUGGAUUUUGGAGGAAAAAUAUGGCAAGAAUACUCCUUCUUUUAGAUCUAAAGGCGUGUUUACAGACUUCAUGUUUAUCUCAAGCCCUGGCCUUCUCCACGCCAUAUUUCUUUAAAGGCCCAGAACCCUCAGACUCUCGAGAUAUUCUACAGGGCUUGUAGGAACUGGUGUGUGAUCUUUCCCUGUGAGUCAACAAUGCAUUUGAUUCCAGAAGCGAGGGACUAGGCCUUUUUAUGGACUUGAUACUUCUACCCUGUUAAUGCAUUUUUGUUAGUAUUUUCUGAUAGAGUGUUUAUUCAUUCAGCAGGCAUUUCCUGAGCACCUACUAUGUGCUAGGCUUUAUAUUGGGUAUAAUGAGUAUGGAGGUGAUUAAGACAUAACCUUUAUUCUCAGUGAGGUCCCAGGCUGGUUAGUAGAAAAGCUAAUGCAGGCUGGACUGCCAGUCUUGCCCCCACUUCUCCAGUCCCCAUCCAUCCUCCAGGCUAUAAACAAAGGUGUAUUACAGAGCAUGGAGACCACUCCCCAACUGAAAACCUUUAGUGGUGCCUCAUUUUUCUCUUGGUGAAAUUCAGGCUCCAUAAUAUGGGCCUUUGUAAUCCACUUUCUGCCCAUCUCUCCUACCUCAUCUCUUGCCAUUGCUCUUCUACCCAUUUAUACUUUUUACUGACAGCUUUGCUUCCAUACACAGGAGACUCUGGAUGUUUCUAGUUCAGAGUCUUCCAGAUGGGCAGAUCUAUAGCCACUUCAGGAAGAGAGCAUCGUGAUCCAGUGAGCCUUGCCCUAAGCGUGUGUGUAUGAUUUGUCAACGAUCGAGGAUUUUAUGGGAGUUUAUGGGACUUCAUUAAAGAUGCUGGAGCAGGAGCACUGUGGGACAUCAGAAGAGACCUCAGCAAUAAACCACAAUUCCAAGCUUUGGAAUGCAGUAAAUGUUUAAGAGACUUCCUUCCUUUCAUUACUGAAUUUUACUUUACUUUCAUACCAGUAAAGAGUUGUGUUUUAUUGGUUGAAAUUUCUUGAUUCUGUUUUUCCCAGGUCUGUUUAAAAGCUACAUUUUAUCUUUGAGGAUGUUUGGCUCGUGGUGGAGGAAGUGCUGCCAGCGAAUUCAAUUAACUGGCAGAGCUCACAGAUAUUGUACACGGAUUUCUUUUUUUCUUCUUUUUCACAACUGCUACAUAAACACAGCUGGGUUUAAUAUUUGUCGUAACAAAGAUUUAACUUGAAUCAUUUUACCCCGGGUAAUUAAUGCUUGGAAUCUUGGCUACUUUUUCGUUCGUUUGUAAUCCUCUGCAUUUCUUUACUCUAGCUAUCUAGAUAAUGAAGUGUGCUCCUCUAGGUCUUUGCCCUGCCUUAAAACUGCUUAAUAUUUGGCCGUUCCCACUAGAGAGCAGAUGCUUUUCUUUGCAAGAAUUGAAUUUCUGUCAGCUCUUUUAUGCAUCAUGUGUUUGGAACUGUAAGUGGAUCAAGUUGUUCAUCACAGCGGGGACACUGUGAAACACAUCUAUUAUACACACUUCCCACCCCCCUUCCUGUUUUGUUUUUUUUUCCUCCCCUGAGGAGGUGGAGAUGCCCGGAUCCCCUUGGGAGAUAUCUCGCUCUGUGUGGAUGUAUCCAUGUGAUCCACCAUGAAUCCGGCCUGGCCACAUCCCUAAGCAGGGAAAUCUGUAUCCAUUCAGCCCAGGAUUGUGGCUGAGACAAACCCCACUUUUAUCUUUGUAAACACCAAGCUCUUCAUUAACUCCCAAAUACACACCAAGUUUGGGUCACUAAGUAAAUCCACUAGGCUCAGCAUAAUGAGUGACAUUUCAGUAAUUGAUGCCCUAGAAUAUGUUCAUUGUGAACCCAUGAUUCUUUUCGAUGCUAAAAUAAAGGCUUGGGUAGUUUUGGCUUUGGAGUUGAGCUAGCGCAGAAGAAUAGUCACCAUCGAUUAGGCCCCUACAGUGUGCCAGGCACUGUGCUAGGGGAUUUGAAAAUCUUGACAUUUAAUCUACAUAAGAAUCCUGCAAAAAAAAGAAGGGGAGGGUACUUUAUCCCCUUUUUAUAGAUGAAGAAAAGGGGCCAAGUAACUUGCCUAGAGGCAUCCAGAUAAUUGCCAGGAGGAGAGCCAGAAUUUGAACUCAGGUCGGGCUGAGCCCAGAGUAAAUCCAUGUACUGUAAAGUGUGGUCCCCUCAUGCCUAGAGGUCACUAGAAUAUAUUCAUCCAUUGAUCAAUCAAGACAUUGAUUUAUUAUGCAUGUUUAUGACAUGCUGCCAUUGCUCCAUCUGAGUUGUCUCAUUCCAUGUCAGGUCUGAAGUUUGGUUGGCAUUUGUGAACACCUUUGUACUCAUCUAAAUCUGAACUCCUGGUGGUGACUGGAAUAGUUUUAGUUUUGCUUUUCUCUCAAAGCUCAGUGCAAAUACAACCCAAGUGCCCCAAGCAACCUACUGUUUUCUUAGAGUUUUGUGAAUUUCAAUUUCUAGCUGUGAACUGAUGGUUAAAAUUUCUACACCUCUAUGGUUUAGUUUGUUAACACGGCUUUAGGGAAGCAGGCAUCUUGGUGGCAUUCCUGCUGUGAUAUGCUCAUCUUUUGGGCCUCAGAUAGUGGCUCUGAGGGCAGAAGUGCAUUUUGGUUCAUUUUUAAUAUAUGUCAUUCAAUUUGCCAGAGUCAUUGUGAGACAUUCACAUGUCUGACUGAGAUACUGCUGAUCUGUAGAAUUAAUUAUAGUUAAAUGGAAAGGUGGCUUUUGCUCAUGAAGAAAGUCGUUAGUCUCUUGAUAAACAUUUUUAAUUAUGAUUAACUUUAGUCUUCCUCCAAAUACUUUCCAUUAGAAAAGGCAUUAAUGUUCUGGUUCAUUAGAAAUAGAGCAAUCCUUUUAUUUUUGGUUUGCAGUCCAUUUUGUUCUUGAAAGAUAUUGGUCCACUUUUUUAAAAAAAAAUUGGUGGAUGUUGUGUUGUAAAAAACAUAUAAGUUUCCUUUUGCAAGUGCAUAUCAGUUUUUUCAAAGGUAACUUACACUUUAAUUUUGUGUGUUGUGUUUGCAAGAGAAUGCUUCUUGGUUUAUUCAUGUUGACAACUGAAAAGCCUUAGACCUAAUUAAAAGAAUUUCCAUGA